AAGCGCCCAAAAACCGUCUGCUUUCUUCUUAUACAUUCACUUUGGUCGCCAUGCCUUCAACAGGAAAAUAGGCAGUUUAUUCAAGGAAAAAUUCCCUAAGCGGUGUUUGUGGUGGGCAUUGCCAAUAGCGGUGUCACUUUCUGGGGAUGCUUCUGGCGCCUGUUCGCGUCUGUUCGCGGAUAUUCAACAUAAUACAGAAAUUCAAAACAAGAAAUGAAGCAAUUCAAGUGUAGAAAUCUUAUUCUAAACAUGAUCAGAGAUUUCAUAGCAUGUGAAACUUAUUGGAUGCGAAAACUGCAAAAAAAAAAAAUUAUGAAAUAGGAUUUGAUGCAAGUGUGGGUUUUCUGGGAUUAAUGGGUUUCUGUCAUCCCGAAAAGUGAUUGCCCUGCAUUCUAAACAAGCUAACCAUUGGCUUGUGUAAACCUAAUGGAAAGAACAAGCAACAGUGUGGAGAAAAAGUUUGUUUUAAAGGAUGUGAGAGCAGUAACAAAAUGCCAUACCCAGAGGAUUGUGUUAUUGUCAAUAAAAUGGAUAUUCUCCAUAUGAUUGCAUUCCUAGGGUACGGAUUCCCUAGCGACUAAAGUUAAACAAUUAUCAGAGAGACAUCGUGGCAUUUUUCUGGAACCCGUGUGUUUCUUAAUGAUGGAAGUUUGUAUCACAUAUGUAUAAUGAUCAUUUGGUUCCCAGGUGUCAUCCCCAUCCACUUCCAUGGCAACCUUGAAGUGAAAGCUACAGCCUAACAAAUGUCCUAUGAUCUUCGUUGGUUUGUGUUGAUGACCUUGGUCUUCCCCCUUAAAACUGUGGCCGUUCACAGAUGCUUAGUCAGUCUGCUUUUAGAAAUUGAGCGGGUUAGUCUUACCGACGAACACCAGAACUUCAUACCUACUAUUUUUAUUUAUCUUUUUGUAGCAACAAUAGUAAAUAGGUUGGAUGAACUCAUAUCUGUUCUUCCAACCUAUUGACUACUGAUGAUGUACAACAAGAUACAUGAAAUUUUUCCUCUUCGAGAAGAGGUGUACUAAAUUAGAUUUUUCGAAGAAAUUCAUGCCUUCUUAUGCGUGAAUUUUCAAAAUGAGGCUGUUUUUCACCGAAUUUGCUUACAAAAUUAGACCAAAAAGUUCCCCACAUAGUGCCAUGCCUAAGUUCGAAAGUUACUUGAACCAAAACGGCAUUGGCUGGUCUCACCAAGAUAAAAUACAAUAUCGAUGUAAAGUGUCUUUAACAAACCGAUACCUUGCAAGAGCGUUAAGAAAUUUAGAUUUCAAAGCUGUAGAAAGUUUCGACAAAUUUGGGAUGCAAUUGCCACACUCGAAACCAUCUGAAGCUAACAUUUUUAUAAAAUGUCAGAUCGUCGACGAAUUUUUUUAGGAUUUACCAUUUCAAACGGAAAUGACUUUUGAAAUGUCUUUGGAUUAAAAACGGCGUAAACCGGUCUCAUCAAGAUAGGACAAAUGUCUUACGGUUAAAAGUUUAUGAACACAUCGAUACCCGUACAUUGCUAUCGAGCCAAAAUAUAACUUUAAAUCGUUAACGUAGCAACGUUCAAACGAAAAUAGGGAUGGGGCAAAAAAACAAAAGGGACAACAAAAGGAAUGAAACAGACGAUUUCAUAAAGGAAAAAAUUUAUAACAUUUAAACAUGCAAAACUAUUUUAAGUGGAUACCUUAAAGAUGAAGCUUUUGUAGCGAAAUAUUUUGUUGGAAAUCGAUUCAUUGCAAUAGAUUGCAAUGAUGAAGCCGAUGGAAUCAACAGGAACAAUUGUUAUUUGUUUUUGACCAAAAUCUUAUGUGUCGUACGUUAGGUAGUGAAAGCGAUUCGCCUGAGGAACGACUUGAAAUAUGUAAAACAGUGGUGGAAUUGUGGAAA
Daphnia carinata is the source of this 1866-nucleotide long non-coding RNA. RefSeq lists it as uncharacterized. Lineage: Eukaryota; Metazoa; Arthropoda; Branchiopoda; Diplostraca; Daphniidae. The record is from RefSeq and is a predicted model, not a curated record. The transcript is spliced from 5 exons.